GAUGAACGCUGGCGGCGUGCCUAAUACAUGCAAGUCGAGCGACCACACGAUGAGCUUGCUCCUCUGACGUUAGCGGCUGACGGGUGAGUAACACGUGGAUAACCUACCUCUAAUACUUGGAUAACUCCGGGAAACCGGAGCUACUACCGGAUAAUAUAUUGAACCGCAUGGUUCAAUAGUGCAAGACGCUUUUGCUGUCUCUUAUAGAUGGAUCCGCGCCGCAUUAGCUACUUGGUAAGGUAACGGCUUACCAAGGCAACGAUGCGUAUCCGACCUGAGAGGGUGAUCGGCCACACUGGAACUGAGACACGGUCCAGACUCCUACGGGAGGCAGCAGUAGGGAAUAUUCCGCAAUGGGCGAAAGCUUGACGGAGCAACGCCGCGUGAGUGAUGAAGGUCUUCGGAUCGUAAAACUCUGUUAUUAGGGAAGAACAAAUGUGUAAGUAACUAUGCACGUCUUGACGGUACCUAAUCAGAAAGCCACGGCUAACUACGUG
Molecule: ribosomal RNA, 497 nt
Filed under: uncultured bacterium
Lineage: Bacteria
Description: partial 16S ribosomal RNA
Rfam family: Bacterial small subunit ribosomal RNA
Source: RNAcentral